UGUAAGUGUGUCCAUGAAUAACUCGCUUGUUACCUUCCUUUUCUACUAGCACUACUAGAACCAAGACUUGUUGUACUUUUGUUGUCCUUGCUGCUUCGUGUAAUCACUUGUGUGCAUAUGAACUUGGUGAUAACGCUGGAGAGCUGAGAGUCAAACCUUAAACAGUGGUUCUUGAUCUUCUUCUCCUUAUUGUUUUGAGUUGAGUAAUUUGUAAGGACCCUCUUGUCAAACUUGAUUUUCUUGCUAGAAUCUUUGUUGGGUGUUGGAGAUUGUGAUUUAAUAGAAGCUGAAUUUCGAGUCUUUGUUUGGCCUGGUCCUUUCCUUGUUCUGGUUUUUUUUUGGGUUGGUAAUUAACAGGAAAAAAACCAUCUAAGUUCUGUUUUUGGAUUAGAAACCCAAGAAUCUUGAGGAUUCUUUGAUUCUUUUUUCUUGUGGGUGUAUAUGUGAAUUUCUUAUCUUGUUCAAUAUUGGGUCCUCUUCUAGCAUUCAAAAUCUGAAAUUUGCAGCUGUUUUGGUGGAUAAGAUAGCAUCUUUUCCUGAAACAACAUAUCUCCUUUUCGAAUUCCACUAGUUUGUAUUUGGAUUUCGAGUCAGGUGAAGUUUGCUAGCUAUUCUUCAUUUAACUGUGCCUCUUCUUGUUCUCUGAAGUAAGGAUUUCUCUUGAUGCUGGGUUCUACUAGACAGUCUCUGUAGAUUUGAUAGUGGCUCCUUUUCUUUCUCUUUAUUUUUUUUUUCUACACUAGGAUGAGGUAGUCAGUAAGACCCCCUUAAACCUCUGGUACUGUUUCUAGAUAUCUCGUGUUCGUUACUGUUUUGGAUGAGUUUACUUCAUGUAUAUGGGUUUGGUUUAAAGGUGCGGCAUCUACUUUGGAUGCUAUGUUGCUGGAUUGUAUCAGUAAUUUCCAUGAACUGGUUCAUUAAUGGUGGAAUUUUGGAGACCAAGGCCGGUUUGCUUGGUGAUGGUGGCAAGAUGUGGCUCAAAUGCUUGGAGAAAGUUUCAGGGAAUAGUUGCAAGAUCCAUCAUCUCUACUACCAGUAUAUUGGUUCCAAGAGAAUUAGAAAAACAUGGUGGCGAAAGCUUUUGGUCGCGUGGAUAGUUGGCUGGAUCAUUGUCUCUGUUUGGAUCUUCUGGUACAUGAGCUCACAAGCUUUUGAGAAGAGGAAAGAGACACUUGCAAGUAUGUGUGAUGAGAGGGCUAGAAUGCUACAGGAUCAGUUUAAUGUGAGCAUGAACCAUGUGCAGGCCAUGUCCAUUUUGAUCUCAACUUUUCACCAUGGCAAAAACCCUUCUGCGAUUGAUCAGAGGACUUUUGCGAGGUAUACAGAAAGAACCGCUUUUGAGAGGCCCCUCACAAGUGGUGUGGCCUAUGCUGUAAGGGUGCUCCAUUCUGAAAGGGAACAAUUUGAGAAGCAACAAGGCUGGACUAUUAAGAGGAUGGAUUCCUUUGAACAAAACCCAGUCCGUAAGGAUGACAAUGCCCCUAAAGCAUUGGAGCCAUCCCCAAUUCAGGAAGAAUAUGCUCCUGUCAUCUUUGCUCAGGAUACUGUUGCACAUGUGGUUUCCCUUGAUAUGCUUUCAGGAACUGAAGAUCGUGAAAAUGUGUUGCGUGCUAGAGCAUCUGGAAAGGGGGUUCUAACUGCUCCUUUCAGAUUACUCAAAACUAACCGUCUUGGGGUUAUUUUGACGUUUGCUGUGUACAAGACAGACCUCCCAUCUAAUGCAACUCCAAAUGAGAGGAUUCAAGCAACUGAUGGGUACCUUGGAGGAAUCUUUGACAUCGAGUCACUCGUUGAGAAGCUGCUUCAACAGCUUGCAAGCAAGCAGACUAUCCUAGUGAAUGUGUAUGACACUACUAAUCAGUCUCACCCUAUCAGCAUGUAUGGUUCAAAUGUAUCAGAUGAUGGGCUGGAACAUGUCAGCUCCCUUAAUUUGGAAGAUCCUUUCAGAAAGCAUGAGAUGCGCUGCAGAUUCAAACAAAAACCACCAUGGCCAUGGUUAGCAAUAACAACAUCAAUUGGCAUCCUUGUGAUUGCAUUGCUUAUUGGGUACAUAUUCCAUGCGACUAUGAAUCGGAUUGCUAAAGUUGAAGAUGAUUGCCACAAGAUGAUGGAGCUUACAAAACAAGCCGAGGCAGCUGAUGUUGCAAAAUCUCAGUUUCUUGCUACGGUUUCCCAUGAGAUCAGAACCCCAAUGAAUGGUGUUCUAGGAAUGCUGCAUAUGCUUAUGGACACAGAUCUAGAUGCGAAUCAGCAAGAUUAUGUUAGAACCGCACAAGACAGUGGAAAAGCUCUAGUCUCGCUUAUAAAUGAGGUUUUGGAUCAAGCAAAGAUUGAAUCUGGUAAGAUUGAGCUUGAGGAAAUGCAGUUCGAUUUGAGGGCAAUAAUGGAUGAUGUAUUGGCACUCUUUUCUGGCAAGGCUCAUGAGAAAGGGAUUGAGUUGGCAGUUUACGUGUCUGAUGGUGUUCCUGAAAUGCUAAUCGGUGAUCCAGGGAGGUUUCGGCAAAUUAUUACCAAUCUCAUGGGGAAUUCAAUUAAAUUUACAAAGAAAGGGCACAUCUUUCUCACUGUUCAUCCUGUUGAGGAGGUGAUGGACUCGAUAGAUGUCGAGACAGAAUCAUCAUCACUAAACACCUUGAGUGGUCUGCCUGUUGCAGAUAGACGCAGGAGUUGUGCAGGAUUUAAGAUUUUCAGUCGUGAGGGCUCAAGUCAUACUCUCUCACCAUCCUCUUCUGACCUUGUCAAUCUAAUAGUGUCGGUUGAGGAUACAGGGGAAGGGAUCCCUCUAGAAGCCCAACCUCGUGUUUUUACUCCUUUUAUGCAGGUUGAUCCAUCCAUUUCCAGAAAAUAUGGAGGCACAGGCAUUGGCCUGAGCAUAAGCAAGUGUUUGGUUGGCCUUAUGAAUGGGGAAAUUGGCUUCGCUAGCAUACCAGAUAUUGGGUCCACCUUCACUUUCACUGCUGUAUUCAGAAACGGCUGCUCCAAUUCAAAUGACACCAAGCAGCAGAAGCAGAGAAUAAAAAACCAAUGUAACACAACGCCUUCAGAAUUUCAAGACAUGACUGCAUUGGUUGUUGACCCCAAGCCUGUUAGGGCCAAUGUUUCAAGAUAUCAGAUCCAGCGGCUAGGAAUACAUGUUGAAUUGGUUUCUGAUUUAAAUCAAGGUUUAUCUAUCAUAAGCAAUGAAAAUAGAGUCUUCAAAAUGAUCUUUGUUGAACAGGAAGUUUGGGAUAAGGACUCAAGCAUUUCAGCUCACUUUGUCAGUAACUUACAAAAAAUUGAGAGUGGGGUUUCUCCAAAACUGUUCCUUUUGGGAAAUUCUCUCAGUUCUUCCAGAACAAACACAGCAACUUCUGGUGCUUAUACUCUAAGAGUCAUAACCAAGCCCCUCAAGGCGAGUAUGCUGGCCGCAUCUUUACAACGAGCAAUGGGCGGGAAUAAGGGGAAUCCCCGCAAUGGAGAACACCCCAGUUUGUCUCUUUGCAACCAUCUUGUUGGAAGAAAAAUUCUUAUUGUAGAUGAUAAUAAAGUGAAUCUCAUAGUAGCUGCUGCUGCUUUGAAGAAGUAUGGAGCUGAAGUUAUCCUUGCAGAUAGUGGCAAGAAGGCGAUCAAAUUGCUCAAGCCACCUCACCAAUUUGAUGCGUGCUUCAUGGAUAUCCAAAUGCCAGAAAUGGAUGGGUUUGAAGCUACAAGGAGAAUUCGGGAUAUGGAGUCAAAUGGGCAUAUACCAAUACUGGCAAUGACUGCGGACGUGAUCCAGGCUACAUAUGAGGAAUGCCAAAGAUGUGGAAUGGAUGGGUAUGUUUCCAAGCCAUUUGAAGCUGAACAGCUUUAUCAGGAAGUUUCACGUUUUUUACAGCCAACGCCCAACGUGAAUUUAUAGAGAGAGCUACUAUUGAAGGCUACCCAUGACAGGAGCUCAAGCACCUCUUCUCAAGGGCUUGAAUGGGCUGGGAGUUCUCCUGAACAGAAAAUAUUUGUUUUGUUGCGGAGUGUAAAUACAAGCCAUGAUUGACUGGUUGGGCUCUAGUUUUCAUUGAUUGGUUUACGAGCUGCACAGUGAACCUGGUUCCCUUUUCCUUGUAGACCUCAUCUCCUAGUUGUCAGUUAUCAUUAGAACUCUUAGAAUAGGACUUCGAAUUCAAUACCACUUUCCAUUGGAUGAAGAAAUCAACUUACCCGAGUGUAUCAUAGAAAACACGGAAUUGCAUUUCUCCUCCCUAUGAAGUAAGAAAUUGCUGACAAGCCGAAGAGGUCUCUCUUUCUUUCGUGGGCCACCGAUUGUGGCAUGGAUACAAGAUUCUGCUGGAAGGAAAGAUAGCUUCUUGGCAACGAAGGAGAGAAUGCUUCAUGUAUAUUAUCUCUUUAAUAAAGAUGUUGAUGUAUACCAUGCUAGGUUACUUCUUGUUAGAUGUGGCUUCUAACAAUACCAAAAGUUUGUGCUACGAAGAAUUGAUGUAACUUAAACAGUGGCAUUCUAAAAAAAUUGAUUAAUCUCAAGAUUCUUGUCUACUCAUGACAUUUGACUCGC
Molecule: RNA transcript, 4528 nt
Organism: Populus euphratica (Euphrates poplar)
Lineage: Eukaryota; Viridiplantae; Streptophyta; Magnoliopsida; Malpighiales; Salicaceae
Gene name: histidine kinase 3-like
Exons: 12
Source: RefSeq, a predicted model, not a curated record